AGUGAACGCUGGCGGUAGGCCUAACACAUGCCAGUCGAACGGCAGCACAGUAAGAGCUUGCGCUUACGGGUGGCGAGUGGCGGACGGGUGAGGAAUACAUCGGAAUCUACUUUUUCGUGGGGGCUAACGUAGGGAAACUUACGCUAAUACCGCAUACGACCUACGGGUGAAAGCAGGGGAUCUUCGGACCUUGCGCGAUUGAAUGAGCCGAUGUCGGAUUAGCUAGUUGGCGGGGUAAAGGCCCACCAAGGCGACGAUCCGUAGCUGGUCUGAGAGGAUGAUCAGCCACACUGGAACUGAGACACGGUCCAGACUCCUACGGGAGGCAGCAGUGGGGAAUAUUGGACAAUGGGCGCAAGCCUGAUCCAGCCAUGCCGCGUGGGUGAAGAAGGCCUUCGGGUUGUAAAGCCCUUUUGUUGGGAAAGAAAAGCAGCAGGUUAAUACCCCGCUGUUCUGACGUUACCCAAAGAAUAAGCACCGGCUAACUUCGUG
This 492-nucleotide ribosomal RNA is filed under the name uncultured bacterium. RNAcentral describes it as "partial 16S ribosomal RNA". It matches the Rfam family "Bacterial small subunit ribosomal RNA", at positions 29 to 507 of the family's 1533-position model. The record is from RNAcentral.